This 305-nucleotide ribosomal RNA is filed under the name Globigerinita uvula. RNAcentral's name for it is "SSU rRNA". It matches the Rfam family "Eukaryotic small subunit ribosomal RNA", at positions 1185 to 1360 of the family's 1831-position model. The record is from RNAcentral. Lineage: Eukaryota; Foraminifera; Rotaliida; Globigerinitidae.
GUGGCUUAAUUUGACUCAACGCGGGAAAUCUUACCGGGUCCGGACACACUGAGGAUUGACAGGCAAUAUAUGUGACUCUUCGGAGUUUGCAUUGUUAAAUAUGCUAGUCCUUUCAUGAUUAUGUGAUAGGUGGUGCAUGGCCGUUCUUAGUUCGUGGAGUGAUCUGUCUGCUUAAUUGCGUUUCAAAUUACUUAUAAGGUAGCAAUACGCGAUGAAGCUUUCAAUAGUCCUCACGGAUUCACUUGAGUCUCUCGCUUCGCUAUCCUUUCGAAUGCAACGAACGUGACCGCAACCUCUUGUUGCCU